AUUUUGAUAUAUGUAGAUCUACUGUACAAUAUUGCUUUAGGGGACCAGACCACAUUACACGUAUCUGUCCUCCUAAUGUUGAUGGACAUUUGGGUUGUUUCUAGGUUUUUGCAAAUACAAAUGACACUACAGUCCAUGUUCUCAGAAGCCCCCACUGUGCACACAAGUGGAAAUUUAUCCAGGGGAGUUUUCGGAGGAGAGUUGCUGAGUCAAAGGUGAAGUGAUGUCUUCAUUCACAAAAUCUAAUUAGUAUAUUAACCAAACUUAGCUGUAUUCUACAGCUUUUCAGGUAAAUGGGGAGUAGGAAAGAAUAAGCCAGGGGUCCUCAACCCCCAGGCCAGGGACCGGUACUAAUCCCUGUGGCCUGUUAGGAACUAGUCUGCACAGCAGGAGGUGAGCAGCCUAUGAACGAGCAUUAUCACCUGAGCUCCGCCUCCUGUCAGAUCAGCAGUGGCCUUAGAUUCUCAUAGGAGCGGGAACCCCAUUGUGAACUGUGCAUGCGGGGGAUCUAGGUUGCAGGCUUCUUAUGAGAAUCUCACCAAUGUCUGAUGCUCUGAGAUGGAACAGUUUCAUCCUGAAACCAUCCCCUCUUCUGUCCCCCAUCUCACAGAAAAAUUGUCUUCUAUAAAACCGGUCCCUGGUGCCAAAAAUGUUGGGGACCACUACUAUAAGUCAAUUAUUAAUAAAUUUGAUUUCCUGGACCCAAUUGAGAGCUACUGGUUGGUUGUUCAUCUCUCGAAGGGUUAACUCAAAGUCUGUUCAUAGUGGAAGAAAUGAUCUGGCAGAUUGGGGGAAGUGAAUCCUCUUUGUGUCUUGGAUGUGGGGCAGGGACCAGCAGGGAGAAGCCAGCCCUUCAAUAAGUUUCCUUCUUUUUAUGUAAACUAGAAAAAGUUCACAGACUUAGUCUGGGAGGGAGAUAAAACUGGGUAUUGCUGUCUCUUGUGUUUUUUGGUCUAAGAAAAUUCCGUGGUUCAAAACUUGGCCGGUCUUCUCUGCUGGGUUUCUCAGCAGGCUUUCCUGUAGUGGCUGGGCUGCUGCUCAGUGUUAGAUGAUGGAAGCUUCUUUCAGCCAUCUAGCUGAUGCUUUCUUUGAAGAACUAUUCAGGGAAGAAGUGGGCCCAGGUUCCAUUCGAGUGAGACAUCAGGGGCAUGUCCCCUGCUGGCCUGGUGGGAGCCUAAGAAGGCUCUAGUGGCCAGUGUCCUGAGUGUUGCCACCACGCAGCCUGCAAGCAAGUCAGCCUUCAGUCUCAAAUCAACUGGUAACUGAGACGGUGUUCAGUGUGCUUAAUGCACUUUGUUUCACAGCCUUCUCUGUAAUCUUCAGCAAAGAGUAAUGUGUUUUGAACAUUCUUUAGAAAACACGUGGUGUGGCAUGGUGGCUCACACCUGUAAUCACAACACUUUGGGAGGCCGAGGUGGGUGGGUUGCUUGAGCCCAGGAGUUCAAGAACAGCUUGGGCAACAUGGUGAAACUCUGUUUCUACAGAAAAAUUGGCAUGCACCUGUAGUCACAGAUACUUGAGAGGUUGAGGUGGGAGGAUCACUUGAACCCAGGAGGUUGAGGCUGCAGUGAACUGUGACCGCACCACUGUACUUCAGCCUGGGCAACAGAGUGAGACCCUGUCUCAAAAAAAAAAAAAAAAAAAAGAAAAGAAAAGAAAAAAGAAAACAACAAGUAGAAGGUAACUUGAUGAGAAAAAAAACUAUCAAAGAAAAAAGUAAGAGAUGAAAAGCCUUCAUAUAUGGAGCUCUUCUAAGGCUGUUGAAGAAGGCUGUGGCAUGACCGCUCCCUCAUACUGUGUGCCAAGUUGAAUUAUGGUUGGGGAAAAGUCUGAGAGUGAUUACUCCUAUGACUAAUGAUUUGUUUCAGUGAUUCAGGUGCCUGUUGGAAAAACAUUCUGUGUAUAAUUUGGUAUAUCUGAACCACUGUGCUCUGCCAGGUUAUCAGAAAAAAACUUUUCAAUGGUUCCCACCUGGGAAGUCACUGGUGUGUGGGAUACACAGGCAUGUGUUUGUGU
This 2016-nucleotide long non-coding RNA is filed under the name Homo sapiens (human). Its description in RNAcentral is "non-protein coding lnc-SCP2D1-2:1". Lineage: Eukaryota; Metazoa; Chordata; Mammalia; Primates; Hominidae. The record is from RNAcentral.